This 492-nucleotide ribosomal RNA is filed under the name uncultured bacterium. Its description in RNAcentral is "partial 16S ribosomal RNA". It matches the Rfam family "Bacterial small subunit ribosomal RNA", at positions 29 to 507 of the family's 1533-position model. The record is from RNAcentral.
AGUGAACGCUGGCGGUAGGCCUAACACAUGCAAGUCGAACGGCAGCACAGUAAGAGCUUGCUCUUACGGGUGGCGAGUGGCAGACGGGUGAGGAAUACAUCGGAAUCUACUUUUUCGUGGGGGAUAACGUAGGGAAACUUACGCUAAUACCGCACACGACCUACGGGUGAAAGCAGGGGAUCUUCGGACCUUGCGCGAUUGAAUGAGCCGAUGUCGGAUUAGCUAGUUGGGGGGGUAAAGGCCCACCAAGGCGACGAUCCGUAGCUGGUCUGAGAGGAUGAUCAGCCACCUUGGAACUGGGACACGGUCCAGACUACUGCGGGGGGGAGCAGUGGGGAAUGGGGGACAGUGGGCGCAAGCAUGAUCCAGCCGUACCGCGUGGGUGAAGAAGGCCUUCGGGUUGUAAAGCCCGUUUGUUGGGAAAGAAAAGCAGCAGGUUAAUACGAAGCUGUUGUGACGGUACCGAAAGAAUAAGCACCGGCUAACUACGUG